This 782-nucleotide long non-coding RNA is filed under the name Cebus imitator (Panamanian white-faced capuchin). Its description in RNAcentral is "lncRNA (ENSCCAG00000038160.1)". The record is from RNAcentral. Lineage: Eukaryota; Metazoa; Chordata; Mammalia; Primates; Cebidae.
CACAUAGAUAAUGUCAUCUAAUUGGUCAGGUACAUGAUUUGGAUAAUCUGGAUGGCAAUGGAACUAUAAAAUAAAGCUGUGUGUUUGGCUGACAUAUUUGAUGUGUUUGAGUGAGUUGUGUUUCUGAUCAGUCUAUUGUGAACCAUCUUCCGUCUCCUAUAGCUAUAGUCAUUCAAGGCAGCCAUGGUGUUUUACAUAAUUUGAUCACUACGUGAUGUGUCAGGCAUAGUUAUACUGAAGAAUUGUUGUUUUCUCAAACUCUUGAAUUUUAAAUCUACAAUAAAAGGUUUCUGUGUGGUCUUCUCUGGCAUUUUUUUCUUCCUGUAUAUUGGUUUCCUGAGACCUUGUUUAGUCUGAUUGCAGUAAUUUUCACUUCCAGCUCUUUUCUGUCAAUCAAACCCUUAAGAAUUCUUCCCUAUGGGCCAGACAUUGUUCCAAGCACUUCAGAAAUAUCAAUUAUUUUAAUUCUCACAACAACUCUUUGAGAAGAUAAAGAAUGCCUUCCUGCUGCGGUGAAGAUGCUUUUGGGAUUAUGUUACUUGGAAAGAAUGGCAGUUGAGAACUGCCUGGUGGAGCAAAUUCAGAGUGGCAGCAUUCAAGAAUAUUUAUCAAGACAAAGUGCUGACUUCACACACUCAGAAGGGUGUGGUAUACCAUUUACGGAUUGGAAGAGGUAGGAGGAGUCUUGGAGACAUUUCAAUAUAUUUAUAUGGCAAGUAUUUAUUGAGUAUCUACUCCAUGCUGGCUUAUGAUAGGUACUUUAGAAUGGUAAGCAACAUAUU